GACUCCGUCUCCCAUAAGGCACUGGGCCUUCUGCACCCGAACCCAAUAAUUAGAGGCCAUUUCACAUGGCGCCCACUCAGAGUUGUCAGGGCCCAAGAACAGGCUCCAGAUGUUGGCUGGAAAAAGGCGAGGACCAGCUGCCCGAGCUCUAAGGCCUGGGCGCUCUUUGGCGAGCCGCCCCUCCCCCGCCUCGGGCACCAUCAGAGAGAGAUCAGUGAAACAUCUAUGGGGAGCUGGAAGAUAAUUGAUGCAUCUUGGAGCCUCAUCACAGCUCCAGAUCAAAGGACCUAAGAAAAUACGGACAAUCCUAUUUACUCCACUGACCCCAUAAUGGGUACAUGGAGAACAAUUGAGAGAAGGUAUAUGAAAAUAUUUUAAAAAUACUAUAAAGAAUUAUCUUUCAGAUCUAUAUAAGUAAGAAGUUCUU
Molecule: long non-coding RNA, 427 nt
Filed under: Monodelphis domestica (gray short-tailed opossum)
Lineage: Eukaryota; Metazoa; Chordata; Mammalia; Didelphimorphia; Didelphidae
Description: lncRNA (ENSMODG00000035729.2)
Source: RNAcentral